GACGAACUUUGGCGGCGUGCUUAACACAUGCAAGUCGAACGGAAAGGCCCUGCUUUUGUGGGGUGCUCGAGUGGCGAACGGGUGAGUAACACGUGAGUAACCUGCCCUUGACUUUGGGAUAACUUCAGGAAACUGGGGCUAAUACCGGAUAGGAGCUCCUGCUGCAUGGUGGGGGUUGGAAAGUUUCGGCGGUUGGGGAUGGACUCGCGGCUUAUCAGCUUGUUGGUGGGGUAGUGGCUUACCAAGGCUUUGACGGGUAGCCGGCCUGAGAGGGUGACCGGCCACAUUGGGACUGAGAUACGGCCCAGACUCCUACGGGAGGCAGCAGUGGGGAAUAUUGCACAAUGGGCGGAAGCCUGAUGCAGCAACGCCGCGUGCGGGAUGACGGCCUUCGGGUUGUAAACCGCUUUCGCCUGUGACGAAGCGUGAGUGACGGUAAUGGGUAAAGAAGCACCGGCUAACUACGUGCCAGCAGCCGCGGUGAUACGUAGGGUGCGAGCGUUGUCCGGAUUUAUUGGGCGUAAAGGGCUCGUAGGUGGUUGAUCGCGUCGGAAGUGUAAUCUUGGGGCUUAACCCUGAGCGUGCUUUCGAUACGGGUUGACUUGAGGAAGGUAGGGGAGAAUGGAAUUCCUGGUGGAGCGGUGGAAUGCGCAGAUAUCAAGAGGAACACCAGUGGCGAAGGCGGUUCUCUGGGCCUUUCCUGACGCUGAGGAGCGAAAGCGUGGGGAGCGAACAGGCUUAGAUACCCUGGUAGUCCACGCUGUAAACGGUGGGUACUAGGUGUGGGGUCCAUUCCACGGGUUCCGUGCCGUAGCUAACGCUUUAAGUACCCCGCCUGGGGAGUACGGCCGCAAGGCUAAAACUCAAAGGAAUUGACGGGGCCCCGCACAAGCGGCGGAGCAUGCGGAUUAAUUCGAUGCAACGCGUAGAACCUUACCUGGGUUUGACAUGGAUCGGGAGUGCUCAGAGAUGGGUGUGCCUCUUUUGGGGUCGGUUCACAGGUGGUGCAUGCCUGUCGUCAGCUCGUGUCGUGAGAUGUUGGGUUAAGUCCCGCAACGAGCGCAACCCUUGUUCACUGUUGCCAGCACGUUAUGGUGGGGACUCAGUGGAGACCGCCGGGGUCAACUCGGAGGAAGGUGGGGAUGACGUCAAGUCAUCAUGCCCCUUAUGUCCAGGGCUUCACGCAUGCUACAAUGGCUGGUACAGAGAGUGGCGAGCCUGUGAGGGUGAGCGAAUCUCGGAAAGCCGGUCUCAGUUCGGAUUGGGGUCUGCAACUCGACCUCAUGAAGUCGGAGUCGCUAGUAAUCGCAGAUCAGCAACGCUGCGGUGAAUACGUUCCCGGGGCU
This 1346-nucleotide ribosomal RNA is filed under the name uncultured bacterium. Its description in RNAcentral is "partial 16S ribosomal RNA". It matches the Rfam family "Bacterial small subunit ribosomal RNA", at positions 28 to 1381 of the family's 1533-position model. The record is from RNAcentral.